RNAcentral lists this ribosomal RNA (2581 nucleotides) under Escherichia coli. Its description in RNAcentral is "partial 23S ribosomal RNA". It matches the Rfam family "Bacterial large subunit ribosomal RNA", at positions 374 to 2925 of the family's 2925-position model. The record is from RNAcentral. Lineage: Bacteria; Pseudomonadati; Pseudomonadota; Gammaproteobacteria; Enterobacterales; Enterobacteriaceae.
CGUACACAAAAAUGCACAUAUUGUGAGCUCGAUGAGUAGGGCGGGACACGUGGUAUCCUGUCUGAAUAUGGGGGGACCAUCCUCCAAGGCUAAAUACUCCUGACUGACCGAUAGUGAACCAGUACCGUGAGGGAAAGGCGAAAAGAACCCCGGCGAGGGGAGUGAAAAAGAACCUGAAACCGUGUACGUACAAGCAGUGGGAGCCUCUUUUAUGGGGUGACUGCGUACCUUUUGUAUAAUGGGUCAGCGACUUAUAUUCUGUAGCAAGGUUAACCGAAUAGGGGAGCCGAAGGGAAACCGAGUCUUAACUGGGCGUUAAGUUGCAGGGUAUAGACCCGAAACCCGGUGAUCUAGCCAUGGGCAGGUUGAAGGUUGGGUAACACUAACUGGAGGACCGAACCGACUAAUGUUGAAAAAUUAGCGGAUGACUUGUGGCUGGGGGUGAAAGGCCAAUCAAACCGGGAGAUAGCUGGUUCUCCCCGAAAGCUAUUUAGGUAGCGCCUCGUGAAUUCAUCUCCGGGGGUAGAGCACUGUUUCGGCAAGGGGGUCAUCCCGACUUACCAACCCGAUGCAAACUGCGAAUACCGGAGAAUGUUAUCACGGGAGACACACGGCGGGUGCUAACGUCCGUCGUGAAGAGGGAAACAACCCAGACCGCCAGCUAAGGUCCCAAAGUCAUGGUUAAGUGGGAAACGAUGUGGGAAGGCCCAGACAGCCAGGAUGUUGGCUUAGAAGCAGCCAUCAUUUAAAGAAAGCGUAAUAGCUCACUGGUCGAGUCGGCCUGCGCGGAAGAUGUAACGGGGCUAAACCAUGCACCGAAGCUGCGGCAGCGACACUAUGUGUUGUUGGGUAGGGGAGCGUUCUGUAAGCCUGUGAAGGUGGCCUGUGAGGGUUGCUGGAGGUAUCAGAAGUGCGAAUGCUGACAUAAGUAACGAUAAAGCGGGUGAAAAGCCCGCUCGCCGGAAGACCAAGGGUUCCUGUCCAACGUUAAUCGGGGCAGGGUGAGUCGACCCCUAAGGCGAGGCCGAAAGGCGUAGUCGAUGGGAAACAGGUUAAUAUUCCUGUACUUGGUGUUACUGCGAAGGGGGGACGGAGAAGGCUAUGUUGGCCGGGCGACGGUUGUCCCGGUUUAAGCGUGUAGGCUGGUUUUCCAGGCAAAUCCGGAAAACCAAGGCUGAGGCGUGAUGACGAGGCACUACGGUGCUGAAGUGACAAAUGCCCUGCUUCCAGGAAAAGCCUCUAAGCAUCAGGUAACAUCAAAUCGUACCCCAAACCGACACAGGUGGUCAGGUAGAGAAUACCAAGGCGCUUGAGAGAACUCGGGUGAAGGAACUAGGCAAAAUGGUGCCGUAACUUCGGGAGAAGGCACGCUGAUAUGUAGGUGAAGCGACUUGCUCGUGGAGCUGAAAUCAGUCGAAGAUACCAGCUGGCUGCAACUGUUUAUUAAAAACACAGCACUGUGCAAACACGAAAGUGGACGUAUACGGUGUGACGCCUGCCCGGUGCCGGAAGGUUAAUUGAUGGGGUUAGCGGUAACGCGAAGCUCUUGAUCGAAGCCCCGGUAAACGGCGGCCGUAACUAUAACGGUCCUAAGGUAGCGAAAUUCCUUGUCGGGUAAGUUCCGACCUGCACGAAUGGCGUAAUGAUGGCCAGGCUGUCUCCACCCGAGACUCAGUGAAAUUGAACUCGCUGUGAAGAUGCAGUGUACCCGCGGCAAGACGGAAAGACCCCGUGAACCUUUACUAUAGCUUGACACUGAACAUUGAGCCUUGAUGUGUAGGAUAGGUGGGAGGCUUUGAAGUGUGGACGCCAGUCUGCAUGGAGCCGACCUUGAAAUACCACCCUUUAAUGUUUGAUGUUCUAACGUUGGCCCGUAAUCCGGGUUGCGGACAGUGUCUGGUGGGUAGUUUGACUGGGGCGGUCUCCUCCUAAAGAGUAACGGAGGAGCACGAAGGUUGGCUAAUCCUGGUCGGACAUCAGGAGGUUAGUGCAAUGGCAUAAGCCAGCUUGACUGCGAGCGUGACGGCGCGAGCAGGUGCGAAAGCAGGUCAUAGUGAUCCGGUGGUUCUGAAUGGAAGGGCCAUCGCUCAACGGAUAAAAGGUACUCCGGGGAUAACAGGCUGAUACCGCCCAAGAGUUCAUAUCGACGGCGGUGUUUGGCACCUCGAUGUCGGCUCAUCACAUCCUGGGGCUGAAGUAGGUCCCAAGGGUAUGGCUGUUCGCCAUUUAAAGUGGUACGCGAGCUGGGUUUAGAACGUCGUGAGACAGUUCGGUCCCUAUCUGCCGUGGGCGCUGGAGAACUGAGGGGGGCUGCUCCUAGUACGAGAGGACCGGAGUGGACGCAUCACUGGUGUUCGGGUUGUCAUGCCAAUGGCACUGCCCGGUAGCUAAAUGCGGAAGAGAUAAGUGCUGAAAGCAUCUAAGCACGAAACUUGCCCCGAGAUGAGUUCUCCCUGACUCCUUGAGAGUCCUGAAGGAACGUUGAAGACGACGACGUUGAUAGGCCGGGUGUGUAAGCGCAGCGAUGCGUUGAGCUAACCGGUACUAAUGAACCGUGAGGCUUAACCUUACAACGCCGAAG